This 484-nucleotide ribosomal RNA is filed under the name uncultured bacterium. RNAcentral describes it as "partial 16S ribosomal RNA". It matches the Rfam family "Bacterial small subunit ribosomal RNA", at positions 28 to 507 of the family's 1533-position model. The record is from RNAcentral.
AUUGAACGCUGGCGGCAUGCUUUACACAUGCGAGUCGAACGGCAGCGCGGGCUUCGGCCUGGCGGCGAGUGGCGAACGGGUGAGUAAUGCAUCGGAACGUGCCCAGUAGUGGGGGAUAGCCCGGCGAAAGCCGGAUUAAUACCGCAUACGACCUGAGGGUGAAAGCGGGGGACCGAAAGGCCUCGCGCUAUUGGAGCGGCCGAUGUCGGAUUAGCUAGUUGGUGGGGUAAAGGCUUACCAAGGCGACGAUCCGUAGCUGGUCUGAGAGGACGACCAGCCACACUGGAACUGAGACACGGUCCAGACUCCUACGGGAGGCAGCAGUGGGGAAUUUUGGACAAUGGGGGCAACCCUGAUCCAGCCAUGCCGCGUGCGGGAAGAAGGCCUUCGGGUUGUAAACCGCUUUUGUUCGGGAAGAAAUCCUCUGGGCUAAUACCCCGGGGGGAUGACGGUACCGGAAGAAUAAGCACCGGCUAACUACGUG